Molecule: non-coding RNA, 3058 nt
Organism: Paramisgurnus dabryanus
Lineage: Eukaryota; Metazoa; Chordata; Actinopteri; Cypriniformes; Cobitidae
Source: RefSeq, a predicted model, not a curated record
CCUUGAUAAAGUAUGGAACGUUUUCAGGAUAUUCAGGUUUCACUAAAGCUAAUUUUAGUUGAUGUGUCAAUGAAGAACAAAAGCUGGAAUGUGAAUAGAAGAAGGGGUCGUACGGGGUCUGUAAAAAUACUCAAGUGGUGCUCGCUGCAUAUCAGAUCAAGCAUUGGAAUAAGAUUUUUAUCGGGGGAGAACAACCAACAGAAAGACCCAUUCACCAACUACAUGGCACACUGAAAGGGGAGAUUCAUGUCACCUUCACCAGUCCUUUCUUUAAUUGCUGGAAACUGUUAAGGGAAAGACCCUCAGACAUAAUAGGAUAAAUGUGGCUGCAGGUAAAAUUAUUUGAUGGUGUUAAGGUUUAUCAUUAUCUAACAAACCAAAUGCUUUGUUCAAUAACAAGAAAUCACGUUAGGGCCAUUUUCUGGAAGAGAAAUCCACUUGGACAGUUUGACAAGGAUCAAGAGGCCAAGGACCAGGUGGUGAAGUCGGAACCAGACCAGACAGCUCUCGCACAGCCAGCCUCUGAACCUGCUCUACAGUUUGAAUCGCCCGGGUGAAGUUAAACUCUACUUUGCUGGUGACCCAGAUGGCUGAGAACAUGAUAGGCUGAAACCCUGGAAGCUAAGAGGGAAGCGGCAAAGGAGUUCGAAGAAGAGCUGAAAAGCACAUCUUAAUGAACACAAGGACAAGGCCUGGUGAAAGCCACUACAGAGGAUCAUAGCCAUCGUUGAAGUUCUGAAAGGACGUGGGUGAAUAUCAAUCUGCCAAAUGAACUUUUUUUAGCAUGCACAUUCACAUCUUUAUAUUAAUACUGAUUAUAUAUGAACUUGUUUGUUUGUUACUGGAAAGAACUUAGCUUCUAUUGUGUUUGACAGAAGGAGUUUUAAGCCUAUGUGCAUUUUCUAGAUGUUAAGCAUGAACAGUACUUAAACAACCAUUACCCGUACCAGCUCUGUCCGUGCUCCAUUUUCCAUUGCAGAUCAUACUCAGAGAUAGUACCCCUUAAAUGCAGCUGGUCGUCAUAGCAAGGCCACACACAACUGCCGCGGCGUAAUGUUCAAUGCGAGACACACACCAGCGCCCAAAUUUAAUUUAAAACGUUUCAGCAUUACUCGGAUUGUACUUAAUUUAACUAAAACAAAUAUCAUAAACAUGUCUAAUUAAUACUUUAUCAACACGUCAUACUCCUGGAAAAGACCCACAUAAAUCACAUAUUUUAAAGGAAUAGUCUAAUCAUUUUCAAUAUUAUUUCAUAUUUUCAUAUUUCAACAUAUAUCAAUAAUAUGUUAUUACCUUAACUAAGAAUUGUUGAUACAUCCCUUUAUCAUCUGUGUGCGUGCACGUAAGCGCUGGAGCGCGCUGCGACGCUUCGAUAGCAUUUAGCUUUGAGUUCACUCAAAAACUCAAAAGUCGAUUUAAAAUUGCAGUUUAAAAAAACUUGCAUGCAUUGAAGACCCGUCACCCCUAGGAACAACAUGAAACGAUUGAAUAUAUCUUCAUAUGAUAUAUCAGGACACUUCUUAAUUUCAUCCUCACACUGGCUCAUACAUGGCUGGUGUAGUAAAUAUUUACCAUAACCGUUUUAAUCAUGUUUUAUGCGUGCUCCCAACACACUGUUUUCUACUGGCUGGCCAUUAAAACUGAGCUCCCGCACAAAGAAGGGAAAUACGUCACAUCUCUUACUCCCGCGUUUGAAAAUAAUGUGGAUAACAACAUUAUUCUGUUUGAGGUGUAACAAGCUGUGUUCCCACAUGUUUAAAGGCUCUCUAAGCGAAUCUGCGAGACGUUAGUUAUUGUUGACGUUUGAAACUGUUUUCAAACAGACGGAGCGUAGCUAACUCCUCCCCCUCCCUUCCGUGCUUUCAUGAACGCGCCCAACCCCCACCCCCAAAUCCUUUGUCGUUUAUUGGCUGGAAUACUUUGUUUUGUUUUGUGAUGCUAGGUUUGGCCACUUGUUGAUAUUGCCGUUUGUGAAGUCUAGGCUGUCUACAGAGAUCGCGUUUUUUUACAGUUUGAUCAACGGACAGGCAGCAAGCAGAUAGUGAGGAGAUGUUUCCGGUAUGUAACAAAAAAUGAUUAAUGGUCUAAAACGCUUCAAUUCCCUUAGAGCGCCUUUGUUUUGCUGCUUAUGACCGUAAUCAUCAUGGAAAACGUUGGUUUACUGAUACUACACGCCAGAAGUCGCACCCAUAAUUCGCGCAAAUCGUCAUGGGGUGUAGGAAUAGUGUGCAUAGGGCCCAAAAUUAUUAACAAUAGGGUAACAUUCUUCAUAGAGCCAUAGCUUAUUUAUUUUGCUUUUAAAGUGCACCAAAUGAAUGCACUUAACAUUAAAAUGAACACUUUUCUUUUGAGUGGAAAUGUACAUCUCAAAUGGGGAUCUGCAGUGAAUGGAAAGGACAUUGCUGUAAAAUAUCAGAAGUAUGUAUGUAUGUAUGUAUGUAUUUAGUGAAAAAGUUGUUGAUGCAAAUGCACUUAACAUAGACCUUCUGUUUGUUUUUUGUACAUUUAAAACACAAUAUACUAAUACAGAAUGUGUGGACAUAAACUGGAAUGUUGGUUGCAAUUACUGUCAAAUAAUGUUUAUAUUAAGUAAAUCCCAUGUACUAUUAAGAAAAGUCUGUAGAUAUAUUGGAGUUGCUUGUUAUUACUGUCAAAUUAUAUUCAUAUAAGGUUAGUCCCAUGCACUUAUAAGAAAGGUCUGUAUAUAUCGGAGUUGCUUAUAACAGUGGUUCUCAAACUGGGGUCCGGGGCCCCCAGGGGGGCCGCGAGAUGGUGCCAGGGGGGCCCCAGUUUUAUGACAUUUUAUAAAAUACAUUAAAUUCUAAUGAAUUCUGGGAAAUUAAACCAAAAAAAGGUAGCACUACUUUGUAUAAUUUAAUGUUUUGUUUAAUUAAAAUGUGAAGUUUUAGAACAGUUUUUUGUCAUAAAUUUUCUUUGGGGGGGGGCGCGAAGGAAUGCACCGUACACAAAGGGGGGCCGCACGCUGAAAAAGUUUGAGAACCACUGGCUUAUAAAGUAAACCCCAUGAUGUAAUGGAAAAAGUAUAUGUGUGUAUAUA